This 253-nucleotide ribosomal RNA is filed under the name uncultured bacterium. RNAcentral describes it as "partial 16S ribosomal RNA". It matches the Rfam family "Bacterial small subunit ribosomal RNA", at positions 524 to 776 of the family's 1533-position model. The record is from RNAcentral.
UACGAAGGGGGCUAGCGUUGCUCGGAAUUACUGGGCGUAAAGGGAGCGUAGGCGGACAGUUUAGUCAGAGGUGAAAGCCCAGGGCUCAACCCUGGAAUUGCCUUUGAUACUGAUUGUCUUGAGUAUGGGAGAGGUGUGUGGAACUCCGAGUGUAGAGGUGAAAUUCGUAGAUAUUCGGAAGAACACCAGUGGCGAAGGCGACACACUGGCCCAUUACUGACGCUGAGGCUCGAAAGCGUGGGGAGCGAACAGG